RNAcentral lists this ribosomal RNA (250 nucleotides) under uncultured Anaerococcus sp. Its description in RNAcentral is "partial 16S ribosomal RNA". It matches the Rfam family "Bacterial small subunit ribosomal RNA", at positions 89 to 339 of the family's 1533-position model. The record is from RNAcentral. Lineage: Bacteria; Bacillati; Bacillota; Tissierellia; Tissierellales; Peptoniphilaceae.
GGAUUAGUGGCGGACGGGUGAGUAACGCGUGAGUAACCUGCCUUACACAAGGGGAUAGCCGUUGGAAACGACGAAUAAUACCCUAUGAAGUUAUUAUCUCGCAUGAGAUAAUAACCAAAGUGUUAGCGGUGUAAGAUGGACUUGCGUCUGAUUAGCUAGUUGGUGAGAAAAAAGCCCACCAAGGCAACGAUCAGUAGCCGGCUUGAGAGAGUGUACGGCCACAUUGGGACUGAGACACGGCCCAGACUCC